Long non-coding RNA from Octopus sinensis (East Asian common octopus), 117 nucleotides. RefSeq lists it as uncharacterized. The record is from RefSeq and is a predicted model, not a curated record. The transcript is spliced from 3 exons. Lineage: Eukaryota; Metazoa; Mollusca; Cephalopoda; Octopoda; Octopodidae.
CCUUUCGCAUUCAGAUUAAUCUGCCAAAUGAAAUGGUUAUGCAUUCACAUUGCUUUCAAUUAAUCAUGCAUUAUUUCAUAGCUUUGGGAUUUCGAUGGUAUGUUUGUUUUUUAAAAU